Molecule: long non-coding RNA, 299 nt
Filed under: Elaeis guineensis (African oil palm)
Lineage: Eukaryota; Viridiplantae; Streptophyta; Magnoliopsida; Arecales; Arecaceae
Description: long non-coding RNA (EGUI_LNC069420)
Source: RNAcentral
CUUCAUAGUUGUAAGUUAAGUUUAAAUUUUUAAAAAUCUAAUUCACCCUCCGCUCUUGGGUUGCAUAGCUGGGCAACACUUUUCUUUUGGCAUGAGCUUACAACGACAGGAAGUAGCUCCCUCAGACAAUCAAAAUCAAGCAUGUAGGAAUAGGAGGAAAAACUCAUCCUAACAUAAGCAAAGUCAAAGGCCCGGUUAUUUGAAGAUCGGAUGGGGGGAGAGGCCCUCGCAACGCCCUUAUGCGCCCCCACAGCCAUGAUAGGAAUAGGAGAAAAACCUCGUCCUAACAUGAGCGAAGU